ACCCGAUGCACGGGAGCCCCGGAGACGAGGGGCUGAGAGGGAGGCGAGCCUCCGACCGACACACCUGAUCCGGGUCAUACCGGCGUAGGGACGCAGACACUUCUUCCA
Molecule: non-coding RNA, 108 nt
Filed under: Actinomyces sp.
Lineage: Bacteria; Bacillati; Actinomycetota; Actinomycetes; Actinomycetales; Actinomycetaceae
Description: TPP sequence
Rfam family: TPP riboswitch aptamer (THI element)
About the family: Vitamin B(1) in its active form thiamin pyrophosphate (TPP) is an essential coenzyme that is synthesised by coupling of pyrimidine and thiazole moieties in bacteria. The previously detected thiamin-regulatory element, thi box was extended, resulting in a new, highly conserved RNA secondary structure, the THI element, which is widely distributed in eubacteria and also occurs in some archaea.
Source: RNAcentral